CGGAAGUGUUGAAGGCAAAGGAAAUGAUUCAUAUUCAAGAAGUGAUUUUGGUAUGUGAAAUUUUAAUUAUAGUAACUCAAAAGACAUUGAAAUGUUUUUAAUUUUGUAUGUUUGUUCUUAAUGUAUUGUUUAUUCUGAUUUAUUAAAUAUUUUUUGUGAUUCUGUUGAUAGAUUUGAAAACUUCUCUUUUAAAUAUUAUCAACAUACUAAGUUGGUCUUGUGAGUCUUGCUCAUGGUAAAAAAAAUUCAUGCGCAGAUGUUAAAGUCAAAAUUCAAUGAUGAUUGAUGAUGUGUACGUUUUGUCAGUUUUGAUCACAAUGUACAUGAAAUGUGGCGAUCUUUGUUGCUGCCAAAAGAGUGUUUGAUAGGUUUCUGCAUAAAGACAGUGUGAUGUGGAAUUCUAUGAUAACAGGUUAAGCACAACACGGUUUGGGAGGAGAAGCUCUACUCGUGUUUCAAGAGAUGUAUUCUUCAGGCAUUGUUGUAGACGAUGUUACAUUUGUUGGAAUUCUCUCGGCCUGUAGUUAUUCUGGACUACUCAAAGAGGGGAAUGAAAUCUUUUAAGUCCAUGAAAUCAAAUAUUCGACAGAGCCUUCCUCAAAAACAUUAUGCUUGCACGGUUGAUUUGUUGGGGCAAGCUGGUCGCUUUAGCGAGGUUAUGAAUCUAAUUAAUGUUAUGCUAAUGGAAGCAGAUGCAAUUGUUUGGGAUUCUGUAAUGGGUGCAUGUAGGACACACUGACACUUAGAUUUAGCUGAAGUAGUAGCGAGGAAACAUCUAGGACUCGAGCCAAAAAAUGCUGGACCUUGUAUCCUUCUAUCAAACAUUUCCGCAUCAAAAGGCAAAUGGUCAAAUGUUGCCCGACUGAGGUAAAACAUGCAAUGUAGAAAGGUGAGCAAGCCACCUAGCUGUAGCUGUUUUAGGUAGAAAAGGU
This 932-nucleotide long non-coding RNA is filed under the name Olea europaea subsp. europaea. Lineage: Eukaryota; Viridiplantae; Streptophyta; Magnoliopsida; Lamiales; Oleaceae. The record is from RNAcentral.